RNAcentral lists this unclassified non-coding RNA (179 nucleotides) under uncultured Bartonella sp. RNAcentral describes it as "partial 16S-23S ribosomal RNA intergenic spacer". Lineage: Bacteria; Pseudomonadati; Pseudomonadota; Alphaproteobacteria; Hyphomicrobiales; Bartonellaceae. The record is from RNAcentral.
GUAAGGGGAAAACAGGAAAAUAACGAGGGAAAUAAAAGGCCAAGAUUGUAUUUCUUAAUCAAUUCAAUUAAUCAAUAUUGUCUCUCUCUUUGUAAAAAGCUUAAUGGUAAAAGUUUAAAAGAGCUUCUGUUUUAAAAGUAUGACGUUUUUAUAAAAGCGAGACGUGAGGGCAUUUAAAA